RNAcentral lists this long non-coding RNA (322 nucleotides) under Chloebia gouldiae (Gouldian finch). Its description in RNAcentral is "Erythrura gouldiae (Gouldian finch) lncRNA (ENSEGOG00005002943.1)". Lineage: Eukaryota; Metazoa; Chordata; Aves; Passeriformes; Passeridae. The record is from RNAcentral.
CAGAGGCAUCUCAAAAAUACCGACAUUUGAAAAAAAGGAAUUAAAAUGCUCUGCAGCUGCCCUUUUGGACCAAAUUCUGGAUAGCUAUAUAACUAUAUAGCUCAUAUAAUGGAGUUCCAGUGUAUGAAGGGUUAGGAAAGAGGUGCAGCGUGAAACCCCGUGUACUACGCUGGACAAACGCUGCAUUGUCUCGAUUCACAUCGCUGGUGGUGAAACAGCGCUCCCUGAUGUCCAACAAGAGACUCGGGAAGUCCAAAAGCUCCAUUCUUCCCGAUAUUUUUGGAUGAAAAAAUUGUAGUUAAUAAAAAGCAAAGUUACUCCA